This 73-nucleotide transfer RNA is filed under the name Candidatus Fermentibacterota bacterium. Its description in RNAcentral is "tRNA-Lys". It matches the Rfam family "tRNA". From Rfam's summary of the family: Transfer RNA (tRNA) molecules are approximately 80 nucleotides in length. Their secondary structure includes four short double-helical elements and three loops (D, anti-codon, and T loops). RNAcentral also lists the same sequence under 1 other name. Lineage: Bacteria; Pseudomonadati; Candidatus Fermentibacterota. The record is from RNAcentral.
GGGGGCGUAGCUCAGCAGGCAGAGCAGCAGACUUUUAAUCUGACGGUCGCAGGUUCGAUUCCUGCCGCCCUCA